CUCUCUUUAGUCUUAAAAGAUUUUCGAGUUUCAUUCGAAAGAACCAAAAUGGAAGAGAGG
RNAcentral lists this transfer RNA (60 nucleotides) under Leptotrombidium akamushi. RNAcentral's name for it is "tRNA-Glu". The record is from RNAcentral. Lineage: Eukaryota; Metazoa; Arthropoda; Arachnida; Trombidiformes; Trombiculidae.